AGCGAACGCUGGCGGCAGGCUUAACACAUGCAAGUCGAGCGCCCCGCAAGGGGAGCGGCAGACGGGAGAGUAACACGUGGGAACAUACCUUUUGGUUCGGAACAACUGAGGGGAACUUCAGCUAAUACCGGAUAAGCCCUUACGGGGAAAGAUUUAUCGCCGAAAGAUUGGCCCGCGUCUGAUUAGCUAGUUGGUGAGGUAACGGCUCACCAAGGCGACGAUCAGUAGCUGGUCUGAGAGGAUGAUCAGCCUCACUGGGACUGAGACACGGCCCAGACUCCUACGGGAGGCAGCAGUGGGGAAUAUUGGACAAUGGGGGCAACCCUGAUCCAGCCAUGCCGCGUGAGUGAUGAAGGCCUUAGGGUUGUAAAGCUCUUUUGCCCGGGAAGAUAAUGACGGUACCGGGAGAAUAAGCCCCGGCUAACUUCGUG
This 431-nucleotide ribosomal RNA is filed under the name uncultured bacterium. Its description in RNAcentral is "partial 16S ribosomal RNA". It matches the Rfam family "Bacterial small subunit ribosomal RNA", at positions 29 to 507 of the family's 1533-position model. The record is from RNAcentral.